This 490-nucleotide ribosomal RNA is filed under the name uncultured bacterium. RNAcentral describes it as "partial 16S ribosomal RNA". It matches the Rfam family "Bacterial small subunit ribosomal RNA", at positions 30 to 507 of the family's 1533-position model. The record is from RNAcentral.
AUUGAACGCUGGCGGCAUGCCUUACACAUGCAAGUCGAACGGCAGCAUGAUCUAGCUUGCUAGAUUGAUGGCGAGUGGCGAACGGGUGAGUAAUACAUCGGAACGUGCCCUGUAGUGGGGGAUAACUAGUCGAAAGAUUAGCUAAUACCGCAUACGACCUGAGGGUGAAAGUGGGGGACCGCAAGGCCUCAUGCUAUAGGAGCGGCCGAUGUCUGAUUAGCUAGUUGGUGAGGUAAAGGCUCACCAAGGCGACGAUCAGUAGCUGGUCUGAGAGGACGAUCAGCCACACUGGGACUGAGACACGGCCCAGACCCCUACGGGAGGCAGCAGUGGGGAAUUUUGGACAAUGGGCGAAAGCCUGAUCCAGCAAUGCCGCGUGUGUGAAGAAGGCCUUCGGGUUGUAAAGCACUUUUGUCCGGAAAGAAAUGGCUCUGGUUAAUACCUGGGGUCGAUGACGGUACCGGAAGAAUAAGGACCGGCUAACUACGUG